GGAAUUUUGGACAAUGGGCGCAAGCCUGAUCCAGCCAUGCCGCGUGCGGGAAGAAGGCCUUCGGGUUGUAAACCGCUUUUGUCAGGGAAGAAACGCCCCGGGCCAAUACCCUGGAGUAAUGACGGCACCCGAAGAACAAGAACCGGCUAACUCCGUUCCAGCAGCCGCGGUAAUACGUAGGGUGCAAGCGUUAAUCGGAAUUACUGGGCGUAAAGCGUGCGCAGGCGGUUAUGCAAGACAGAUGUGAAAUCCCCGGGCUCAACCUGGGAACUGCAUUUGUGACUGCAUGGCUAGAGUGCGGCAGAGGGGGAUGGAAUUCCGCGUGUAGCAGUGAAAUGCGUAGAUAUGCGGAGGAACACCGAUGGCGAAGGCAAUCCCCUGGGCCUGCACUGACGCUCAUGCACGAAAGCGUGGGGAGCAAA
RNAcentral lists this ribosomal RNA (422 nucleotides) under uncultured bacterium. RNAcentral describes it as "bacterial SSU rRNA". It matches the Rfam family "Bacterial small subunit ribosomal RNA", at positions 358 to 772 of the family's 1533-position model. The record is from RNAcentral.